GGGGUGAGAAGGGAGGCGGAGAUGGAGGGUGUGGCUGGGUUGAUGAAGGGUCUAAAGCUGAUGGAUGAGGAGAAGAAGGGGGUCAAGGUCAAACUCUCGGCGAGGGAGAAGGGGAAGGAUGCGGAACCAAGGGCGGUCGGCAAGGUCAUGUCAGAGAAACUCGCUCAUCCCGAUGCAAUUGGCCUAUCCUUAGGUAAGGUUUGGUGUCCGAGCAAAGGGAUAGGUUGUAUGGAGGUGGGGGAAAACAUGUUCAUCUUUGCGUCCCGCCAAAAAUCGGGGAAGAGGAAGGCGCUAGAGAAUGGUCCCUGGAUGUUUGACAAGGAGCUGGUGGUAGUGGAGGAUUUUGUGCCACCUAGGCGAAUGGAGGACUAUGAAUUUAACACCAUCCCGGUUUGGGUUCGGGUGUAUAGCCUGCCACUUGGAAUGAUGAAUGUGGAGUCAGCAGAG
Molecule: ribosomal RNA, 447 nt
Filed under: Triticum aestivum (bread wheat)
Lineage: Eukaryota; Viridiplantae; Streptophyta; Magnoliopsida; Poales; Poaceae
Description: partial small subunit ribosomal RNA
Source: RNAcentral